RNAcentral lists this transfer RNA (68 nucleotides) under Caroperla siveci. Its description in RNAcentral is "tRNA-Asp". Lineage: Eukaryota; Metazoa; Arthropoda; Insecta; Plecoptera; Perlidae. The record is from RNAcentral.
AAAGAAUUAGUUAAAUUUAACAUUAGUAUGUCAUACUAAAAUUAUUAGUGAUACCCUAGUAUUCUUUA